Molecule: non-coding RNA, 71 nt
Organism: Dipodomys ordii (Ord's kangaroo rat)
Lineage: Eukaryota; Metazoa; Chordata; Mammalia; Rodentia; Heteromyidae
Source: Rfam
GGGAAUGUGGCUUGGUGGUAGAGCGCUUGCCUAGCAUGCAUGAAACCUUGGGUUCCAUUCCUCAGUGCCCA